Molecule: small nucleolar RNA, 144 nt
Organism: Mus pahari (shrew mouse)
Lineage: Eukaryota; Metazoa; Chordata; Mammalia; Rodentia; Muridae
Product: small nucleolar RNA SNORA48
Exons: 1
Source: RefSeq, a predicted model, not a curated record
AACCCUUGGCAAUGGGCAAAGAGACCCCUUGUUGUUGCUGGUGCUCUUCAAUCAGUCAGGGGCAGAGCAGAUGGCGGUCCUUUGUUCAUCCUAGCCUGAUGCCUGGGUUGGUGGCCAAAGCUUUCUUAUGCCUAGGACAUAUAA